This 57-nucleotide ribosomal RNA is filed under the name Oryza sativa Indica Group (long-grained rice). RNAcentral's name for it is "partial 28S ribosomal RNA". Lineage: Eukaryota; Viridiplantae; Streptophyta; Magnoliopsida; Poales; Poaceae. The record is from RNAcentral.
CGCGACCCCAGGUCAGGCGGGACUACCCGCUGAGUUUAAGCAUAUAAAUAAGCGGAG